CCUACGGGAGGCAGCAGUGAGGAAUAUUGGUCAAUGGGCGCUAGCCUGAACCAGCCAAGUCGCGUGAAGGAUGACUGCCCUCUGGGUUGUAAACUUCUUUUAUAUGGGAAUAAAGUGCAGUAUGUAUACUGCUUUGCAUGUACCUUAUGAAUAAGGAUCGGCGAACUCCGUGCCAGCAGCCGCGGUAAUACGGAGGAUUCGAGCGUUAUCCGGAUGUAUUGGGGUUAAAGGGAGCGUAGGCGGGUUGUUAAGUCAGUUGUGAAAGUUUGUGGCUCAACGGUAAAAUUGCAGUUGAUACUGGCAUCCUUGAGUGUAGGAGAGGAGGGCGGAAUUCGUGGUGUAGCGGUGAAAUGCUUAGAUAUCACGAAGAACUCCGAUGGCGAAGGCAGCCUGCUGGACUGUAACUGACGCUGAGGCGCGAAAGUGUGGGUAUCAAACAGGAUUAGAUACCCCUGUAGUC
RNAcentral lists this ribosomal RNA (460 nucleotides) under uncultured bacterium. Its description in RNAcentral is "partial 16S ribosomal RNA". It matches the Rfam family "Bacterial small subunit ribosomal RNA", at positions 338 to 795 of the family's 1533-position model. The record is from RNAcentral.